RNAcentral lists this ribosomal RNA (2473 nucleotides) under Streptomyces lavendulae. RNAcentral's name for it is "partial 23S ribosomal RNA". It matches the Rfam family "Bacterial large subunit ribosomal RNA", at positions 590 to 2925 of the family's 2925-position model. RNAcentral also lists the same sequence under 1 other name. Lineage: Bacteria; Bacillati; Actinomycetota; Actinomycetes; Kitasatosporales; Streptomycetaceae. The record is from RNAcentral.
GUCGUGACUGCGUGCCUUUUGAAGAAUGAGCCUGCGAGUUAGCGGUGUGUAGCGAGGUUAACCCGUGUGGGGAAGCCGUAGCGAAAGCGAGUCCGAAUAGGGCGAUUGAGUUGCACGCUCUAGACCCGAAGCGGAGUGAUCUAGCCAUGGGCAGGUUGAAGCGGAGGUAAGACUUCGUGGAGGACCGAACCCACCAGGGUUGAAAACCUGGGGGAUGACCUGUGGUUAGGGGUGAAAGGCCAAUCAAACUCCGUGAUAGCUGGUUCUCCCCGAAAUGCAUUUAGGUGCAGCGUCGUGUGUUUCUUGCCGGAGGUAGAGCACUGGAUAGGCGAUGGGCCCUACCGGGUUACUGACCUUAGCCAAACUCCGAAUGCCGGUAAGUGAGAGCACGGCAGUGAGACUGUGGGGGAUAAGCUCCAUGGUCGAGAGGGAAACAGCCCAGAGCAUCGACUAAGGCCCCUAAGCGUACGCUAAGUGGGAAAGGAUGUGGAGUCGCAGAGACAACCAGGAGGUUGGCUUAGAAGCAGCCACCCUUGAAAGAGUGCGUAAUAGCUCACUGGUCAAGUGAUUCCGCGCCGACAAUGUAGCGGGGCUCAAGCGUACCGCCGAAGUCGUGUCAUUGCAGCAAUAGGGCCAACGCCCGCUGUGAUGGGUAGGGGAGCGUCGUGUGCCGGGUGAAGCAGCAGCGGAAGCUAGUUGUGGACGGUUCACGAGUGAGAAUGCAGGCAUGAGUAGCGAUACACACGUGAGAAACGUGUGCGCCGAUUGACUAAGGGUUCCUGGGUCAAGCUGAUCUGCCCAGGGUAAGUCGGGACCUAAGGCGAGGCCGACAGGCGUAGUCGAUGGACAACCGGUUGAUAUUCCGGUACCCGCUUUGAAACGCCCAAUAUCGAAUCAGGCGAUGCUAAGUCCGUGAAGCCGUUCCGGACCCUUCGGGGAAAGGAAAGUGGUGGAGCCGACGAACCAGACUUGUAGUAGGUAAGCGAUGGGGUGACGCAGGAAGGUAGUCCAGCCCGGGCGGUGGUUGUCCCGGGGUAAGGGUGUAGGCCGAGGGGUAGGCAAAUCCGUCCCUCAUAUAAGGCUGAGACCUGAUGCCGAGCCGAUUGUGGUGAAGUGGAUGAUCCUAUGCUGUCGAGAAAAGCCUCUAGCGAGUUUCAUGGCGGCCCGUACCCUAAACCGACUCAGGUGGUCAGGUAGAGAAUACCGAGGCGUUCGGGUGAACUAUGGUUAAGGAACUCGGCAAAAUGCCCCCGUAACUUCGGGAGAAGGGGGGCCAUCACUGGUGAUCGGACUUGCUCCGUGAGCUGGGGGUGGCCGCAGAGACCAGCGAGAAGCGACUGUUUACUAAAAACACAGGUCCGUGCGAAGCCGUAAGGCGAUGUAUACGGACUGACGCCUGCCCGGUGCUGGAACGUUAAGGGGACCGGUUAGUGACCUUUCGGGGUUGCGAAGCUGAGAACUUAAGCGCCAGUAAACGGCGGUGGUAACUAUAACCAUCCUAAGGUAGCGAAAUUCCUUGUCGGGUAAGUUCCGACCUGCACGAAUGGCGUAACGACUUCUCGACUGUCUCAACCAUAGGCCCGGUGAAAUUGCACUACGAGUAAAGAUGCUCGUUUCGCGCAGCAGGACGGAAAGACCCCGGGACCUUUACUACAGUUUGAUAUUGGUGUUCGGUUCGGCUUGUGUAGGAUAGGUGGGAGACUUUGAAGCCGUGACGCCAGUCAUGGUGGAGUCGCCGUUGAAAUACCACUCUGGUCGUGCUGGAUGUCUAACCUCGGUCCGUGAUCCGGAUCAGGGACAGUGUCUGAUGGGUAGUUUAACUGGGGCGGUUGCCUCCCAAAGGGUAACGGAGGCGCCCAAAGGUUCCCUCAGCCUGGUUGGCAAUCAGGUGUUGAGUGUAAGUGCACAAGGGAGCUUGACUGUGAGACCGACGGGUCGAGCAGGGACGAAAGUCGGGACUAGUGAUCCGGCGGUGGCUUGUGGAAGCGCCGUCGCUCAACGGAUAAAAGGUACCCCGGGGAUAACAGGCUGAUCUUCCCCAAGAGUCCAUAUCGACGGGAUGGUUUGGCACCUCGAUGUCGGCUCGUCGCAUCCUGGGGCUGGAGUCGGUCCCAAGGGUUGGGCUGUUCGCCCAUUAAAGCGGUACGCGAGCUGGGUUUAGAACGUCGUGAGACAGUUCGGUCCCUAUCCGCUGUGCGCGUAGGAAUAUUGAGAAGGGCUGUCCCUAGUACGAGAGGACCGGGACGGACGAACCUCUGGUGUGCCAGUUGUCCUGCCAAGGGCAUGGCUGGUUGGCUACGUUCGGGAGGGAUAACCGCUGAAAGCAUCUAAGCGGGAAGCCUGCUUCAAGAUGAGUAUUCCCACCUCCUUGAGAGGGUAAGGCUCCCAGUAGACGACUGGGUUGAUAGGCCAGAUGUGGAAGCCCGGUAACGGGUGGAGCUGACUGGUACUAAUAGGCCGAGGGCUUGUCCUC